RNAcentral lists this ribosomal RNA (518 nucleotides) under Colopea sp. HMW-2012. Its description in RNAcentral is "eukaryotic LSU rRNA". It matches the Rfam family "Eukaryotic large subunit ribosomal RNA", at positions 664 to 1138 of the family's 3401-position model. Lineage: Eukaryota; Metazoa; Arthropoda; Arachnida; Araneae; Stenochilidae. The record is from RNAcentral.
GACCAAGGAGUCUAACACGUGCGCGAGUCGGUGGGACUUGCGUAGGCCCACGGGCGCAGCGAAAGCAAUCUUCCACGAUUCUUGUYGUGCGUCGAGAUUCCUCUCCCCACCCCUCGGGCGAGGACGCAUCGACGGCCCGCCCGAGACCCCCGACAGCUCGGGCGGCGUCGGAGCGCACACGUUGGGACCCGAAAGAUGGUGAACUAUGCCCGGGCAGGACGAAGCCGGAGGAAACUCCGGUGGAGGUCCGAAGCGGUUCUGACGUGCAAAUCGAUCGCCAGACCCGGGUAUAGGGGCGAAAGACUAAUCGAACCGUCUAGUAGCUGGUUCCCUCCGAAGUUUCCCUCAGGAUAGCUGGCACUCGAGGGACCGACCAGUCUCGCCCGGUCGAGCGAAUGAUUAGAGGCCCUUGGGGCCGAAACGACCUCAACCUAUUCUCAAACUUCCAACGGGCGAGAACCCCCGCUUACCAGACGGAAGCGUGGGGACGGGAGAGAACGUUCCGUUCUUCUUCCUUC